This 253-nucleotide ribosomal RNA is filed under the name uncultured bacterium. RNAcentral's name for it is "partial 16S ribosomal RNA". It matches the Rfam family "Bacterial small subunit ribosomal RNA", at positions 524 to 776 of the family's 1533-position model. The record is from RNAcentral.
UACGUAGGUGGCAAGCGUUGUCCGGAUUUAUUGGGUUUAAAGGGUGCGUAGGCGGCCUUAUAAGUCAGUGGUGAAAUACGACAGCUUAACUGUCGAACUGCCAUUGAUACUGUAGGGCUUGAGUACAGACGAGGUAGGCGGAAUUGAUAGUGUAGCGGUGAAAUGCAUAGAUACUAUCAAGAACACCGAUUGCGAAGGCAGCUUACUAGGCUGUAACUGACGCUGAGGCACGAAAGCGUGGGGAUCAAACAGG